GUGCCCUUGGCAGCUCGAGCUCACCAAGAUGGUCCCCAUCCCUGCUGGAGUAUUUACAAUGGGCACUGAUGAUCCUCAGAUCAGGCAGGAUGGAGAAGUCCCUGCCAGGAGAGUCACUGUUGAUGGCUUUUACAUUGAUGCCCAUGAAGUCAGCAAUGCGAAUUCUGAGAAUUUUGUGAACUCCACUGGCUAUUUGACAGAGGCUGAGAAGUUUGGAGACUCUUUCGUUUUUGAAGACAUGUUGAGCGAACAAGUAAAAACGCAUAUCCACCAGGCAGUUGCAGCUGCUCCAUGGUGGUUGCCUGUCAAGAGAGCUAAUUGGAGACACCCAGAGGGUCCAGACUCCAGUAUUCUGCACAGGUCAAAUCAUCUGGUUCUCCAUGUUUCCUGGAACGACUCUGUUGCCUACUGCUGAACAUGGGUGGGGAAGAGGUUGCCUACUGAGGCAGAGUGGGAAUACAGCUGUAAAGGAGGCCUACAGAACAGGUUUUUCCUCCUGGGGCAACAAACUGCAGCCCAAAGGACAGCAUUAUGCCAACAUCUGGCAGGGCAAGUUUCCUGUCAGCAACACUGGCGAGGAUGGCUUCCAAGGAACUGCCCCCGUUGAUUCCUUUCCUCCCAAUGGCUAUGGCUUAUACAACAUAGUGGGGAACGCAUGGGAGUGGACCUCAGACUGGUGGCCCGUUCACCAUUCUGUUGAGGAAAAGCUCAGCCCAAAGGGUCCCACUUCUGGGAAAGACUGAGUGAAGAAGGGUGGAUCCUACCGAUGCCAUAAGUCCUAUUGCUAUAGGUACAGCUGUGCAGCUCGAAGCCAGAACACACCAGAUAGCUCUGCACCCAACCUGGGAUUCCGAUGUGCAGCCGACCACCUGCCCACUGCAGGCUGA
Molecule: non-coding RNA, 887 nt
Organism: Mus caroli (Ryukyu mouse)
Lineage: Eukaryota; Metazoa; Chordata; Mammalia; Rodentia; Muridae
Source: RefSeq, a predicted model, not a curated record